GGGCCUGUAGCUCAGUUGGUAGAGCAGUUGACUCUUAAUCAAUUGGUCGGGGGUUCGAGGCCUCCCAGGCCCACCA
This 76-nucleotide transfer RNA is filed under the name Deltaproteobacteria bacterium. Its description in RNAcentral is "tRNA-Lys". It matches the Rfam family "tRNA". From Rfam's summary of the family: Transfer RNA (tRNA) molecules are approximately 80 nucleotides in length. Their secondary structure includes four short double-helical elements and three loops (D, anti-codon, and T loops). RNAcentral also lists the same sequence under 2 other names. Lineage: Bacteria; Pseudomonadati; Myxococcota; Myxococcia. The record is from RNAcentral.